RNAcentral lists this ribosomal RNA (261 nucleotides) under Cyanobacterium aponinum K37. RNAcentral's name for it is "Geminocystis herdmanii K37 partial 16S ribosomal RNA". It matches the Rfam family "Bacterial small subunit ribosomal RNA", at positions 463 to 725 of the family's 1533-position model. The record is from RNAcentral. Lineage: Bacteria; Bacillati; Cyanobacteriota; Cyanophyceae; Chroococcales; Geminocystaceae.
AAAAAAAUGACGGUACCUAAUAUAAGCAUCGGCUAACUCCGUGCCAGCAGCCGCGGUAAUACGGAGGAUGCAAGCGUUAUCCGGAAUCAUUGGGCGUAAAGCGUCCGUAGGUGGCAUUUCAAGUCUGCUGUCAAAGACCGAAGCUCAACUUCGGGAAGGCGGUGGAAACUGAAAAGCUAGAGUGAAGUAGGGGUAGAGGGAAUUCCUAGUGUAGCGGUGAAAUGCGUAGAGAUUAGGAAGAACACCAGUGGCGAAGGCGCU